This 497-nucleotide ribosomal RNA is filed under the name uncultured bacterium. RNAcentral describes it as "partial 16S ribosomal RNA". It matches the Rfam family "Bacterial small subunit ribosomal RNA", at positions 28 to 507 of the family's 1533-position model. The record is from RNAcentral.
GAGGAAAGCAGGGGGCGUGCCUAAUACAUGCAAGUCGAGCGAACAGACGAGGAGCUUGCUCCUCUGACGUUAGCGGCGGACGGGUGAGUAACACGUGGAUAACCUACCUAUAAGACUGGGAUAACUUCGGGAAACCGGAGCUAAUACCGGAUAAUAUAUUGAACCGCAUGGUUCAAUAGUGAAAGACGGUUUUGCUGUCACUUAUAGAUGGAUCCGCGCCGCAUUAGCUAGUUGGUAAGGUAACGGCUUACCAAGGCAACGAUGCGUAGCCGACCUGAGAGGGUGAUCGGCCACACUGGAACUGAGACACGGUCCAGACUCCUACGGGAGGCAGCAGUAGGGAAUCUUCCGCAAUGGGCGAAAGCCUGACGGAGCAACGCCGCGUGAGUGAUGAAGGUCUUCGGAUCGUAAAACUCUGUUAUUAGGGAAGAACAAAUGUGUAAGUAACUAUGCACGUCUUGACGGUACCUAAUCAGAAAGCCACGGCUAACUACGUG